Molecule: unclassified non-coding RNA, 1226 nt
Filed under: Hevea brasiliensis (rubber tree)
Lineage: Eukaryota; Viridiplantae; Streptophyta; Magnoliopsida; Malpighiales; Euphorbiaceae
Source: RNAcentral
CCGCAGUAGUAACUACUGCAGAAUCUUGGUAUUAAUAAAAGUAAGGCAGAAUUCUCCAGGGAACAAGUCUACGGUACUCAGCCCAUACUUCUUUAUACUUCUCUGCACAGCGAGCCUCGUCUCUUCUUUCUCUCCACAUGAGCAGAAUAAGGAGAUAAAUUGGAUAAAAGUAUGGAACAGGAGAACUUAUUCCACAAGGUAGACUGAAGGACAGAGCCAACAACAAGUCUCCAAGAUAAUUACAAUGUCUUGCAAUCCCCCAAUAACCAGAAGCAAGAAGCUUUCCUCCAAUAACCCUUGGUGGCUUACCCCAUAUGAGUGCUUUUGGAUUCUUUUUGAAAACAUGCUUUUGCUUGUUAGCUCCUCUAAAGACCAGAUACCCAAUCAGAAAAACUAAGCAAUUUGCGACAACAGCAGCUGUUGUUAGCUCCACCUUGUUACCCAAAAGCCACCAACCCUGGAUGCUAAAAGUGAAAGGAAUCCAAACAAGAUCGCCAAAUACCAACAUGAAGCCCAAUCUCUCUGCUAUUAUAUCCCAUGUGGAAGUCAUGUAUUCCUCAUAAAAGAAGUAAUCUAAGAUGUAUAACGCACAGAAUAGUUGGUAGAGGAUCAUUGAACAGCUCAAGUUGGCAUCUUGAAUACUUUUUGCUAGAACUGAUAGGUUUAUAAAUAGCCAUCCCAUCAUUCCAGCCCUAACAAAGAAGAAUUUGAGGUCAAUGCCCACAAACUGAGGAUUGAGCUGUAUUCCAAACCACAAGUCAUGUAUUAGGUUUCCAGUGACAUGAGGCUUCAGAGAAGAACCCUGGUUUUGUGAAUUGCAGCCAGCAGCAUAAAGUACCAACGUCACAAGAACACUGAGUAUAAAGGUUGUCAAUAGCAGCUCAAAUCCGCUCUCUGAUAUCACAGUGGGUGAUAAAAGAUCCAUCUUAGCUCCAGCCCCAAGAAGAGCAACCAGCAACAGCAAUGACAACAACCCAUUGCAACGAUAACAAAGACGAGAACCAUCCUGCAGGGUAACUCCAGGAACAACUUUUCCAGGGAGUAUUGAUCCAGCAAUUGCCAGAUAACCAAAGAAUACGACUAGUACAUAAACCGAGUUCAAUGAGGGAAUAAGCGCGUGUAGAAGAAAUCCCAGAUCCAUUAUUUUACCAGUUGAGUGAGUUUGAUGCUUCAGAUAUUUGCUCUGCUUUCUACUCAUCCAUGCCCCCUCUUGGAGAUACCGCUCC